RNAcentral lists this ribosomal RNA (726 nucleotides) under Triticum aestivum (bread wheat). Its description in RNAcentral is "partial small subunit ribosomal RNA". Lineage: Eukaryota; Viridiplantae; Streptophyta; Magnoliopsida; Poales; Poaceae. The record is from RNAcentral.
AUGGAUGUAAAACCCACAUUUUUGAACGGCGAGAUAGAAGGAGAUGUGUAUUUGAAUCAACCAUCCGGUUUCAUCAAAGAGGGAGAAGAGCACAAGGUACUGAAGUUGCAUAAAAUCUUGUAUGGGCUAUGGCAAGAACCUCGGGAGUGGAACAUCAAACUUCAUCAGACAUUGAUUUCUCUUGGAUUUGAGAAAGCCCCACUAGAGCAUGCAAUGUACAAGAGAGGUAAAGGAAGGGAUCGUCUACUAGUUGGCAUCUACGUCAACGAGCUAUUGAUAACUGGAGCAGAUGAAGAGGUGAUUGCAAAGUUCAAGCUACAUAUGAAAGAGCUUUUCAAGAUGGAUGAUCUAGGUCUUUUGAGCUACUACCCCGGGAUAGAGGUACAUCAAAAGCCGGAGGGGGUCACACUAUGCCAGGAGGCAUACGUAAGGAAGGUACUUGAAAGGCGUGGCAUGAAAUAUUGCAAUCCAAUUGACGCUUCAAUGAAACCUCGUCUUGAGAUAAGUAAGAAGAGCAAAGCACCCGCAGUUGAUGCAAUAGAGUAUAUUGCAGCUGCCACUGCGAUGUGUCAAGGUGUGUGGCUUGGGAGGCUGCACGGUGAUCUCAUGGAUCGAGAUCCGGAACAAGUGGUGCUCAAUGUUGAUAGCAAGUCUGAAAGUUUUCUACGUAAGGAUCCAGUGCGGCAGGAUAGGAGCAAGCACAUUGAUACAUGUAUCAGUACAUGA